RNAcentral lists this ribosomal RNA (483 nucleotides) under uncultured bacterium. RNAcentral describes it as "partial 16S ribosomal RNA". It matches the Rfam family "Bacterial small subunit ribosomal RNA", at positions 28 to 523 of the family's 1533-position model. The record is from RNAcentral.
GACGAACGCUGGCGGCGUGCUUAACACAUGCAAGUCGAACGAUGAAGCCGGAGCUUGCUCCGGUGGAUUAGUGGCGAACGGGUGAGUAACACGUGAGCAAUCUGCCCUUGACUCUGGGAUAACUGCGGGAAACUGUAGCUAAUACCGGAUACGACACCUUGGGGCAUCCCAGGGGGUGGAAAGAAUUUCGGUCAAGGAUGAGCGCGCGGCCUAUCAGCUAGUUGGUGAGGGAAUGGCUCACCAAGGGAACGACGGGUAGCCGGCCUGAGAGGGUGACCGGCCACACUGGAACUGAGACACGGUCCAGACUCCUACUGGAGGCAGCAGUGGGGAAUAUUGCACACUGGGCGAAAGCCUGAUGCAGCAACGCCGCGUGAGGGAUGAAGGCCUUCGGGUUGUAAACCUCUUUUAGCAGGGAAGAAGCGAAAGUGACGGUACCUGCAGAAAAAGCACCGGCUAACUACGUGCCAGCCGCCGCGGUAA